This 205-nucleotide ribosomal RNA is filed under the name Paenibacillus taichungensis. RNAcentral describes it as "partial 23S ribosomal RNA". It matches the Rfam family "Bacterial large subunit ribosomal RNA", at positions 187 to 386 of the family's 2925-position model. The record is from RNAcentral. Lineage: Bacteria; Bacillati; Bacillota; Bacilli; Caryophanales; Paenibacillaceae.
GGGGAACUGAAACAUCUAAGUACCUUGAGGAAGAGAAAACAAUAGUGAUUCCGUCAGUAGCGGCGAGCGAACGCGGAGAAGCCCAAACCAGAGAGCUUGCUCUUUGGGGUUGUGGGACAUCUCACAUGGAGUUACAAAGGAACCGGUUAAACGAAGAGGUCUGGAAAGGCCCGCCAAAGAAGGUAAAAGCCCUGUAGUUGAAAGU